CACGGAGUUAGCCGGAGCUUAUUCUCCAGGUACUGUCAUUAUCAUCCCUGGUAAAAGAGCUUUACAACCCUAAGGCCUUCAUCACUCACGCGGCAUUGCUGGAUCAGGCUUUCGCCCAUUGUCCAAUAUUCCCCACUGCUGCCUCCCGUAGGACGUCUGGGCCGUGUCUCAGUCCCAGUGUGGCUGAUCAUCCUCUAAGACCAGCUAUGGAUCGUCGCCUUGGUAGGCCUUUACCCCACCAACUAGCUAAUCCAACGCGGGCCCAUCCAAAGGCGAUAAAUCUUUGGUCCGAAGACAUUAUUCGGUAUUAGCACCCUUUCGAGGAGUUAUUCCGAACCUAAGGGCAGGUUCCCACGCGUUACGCACCCGUGCGCCACUAGACGUCCAACCGAAGUCAGGGUCUCGUUCGACUUGCAUGUGUUAGGCAUGCCGCCAGCGUCGUUCUGAGCACGGAUCAAACUC
Molecule: ribosomal RNA, 462 nt
Filed under: uncultured Porphyrobacter sp.
Lineage: Bacteria; Pseudomonadati; Pseudomonadota; Alphaproteobacteria; Sphingomonadales; Erythrobacteraceae
Description: partial 16S ribosomal RNA
Source: RNAcentral